Molecule: ribosomal RNA, 493 nt
Filed under: uncultured bacterium
Lineage: Bacteria
Description: partial 16S ribosomal RNA
Rfam family: Bacterial small subunit ribosomal RNA
Source: RNAcentral
GACGAACGCUGGCGGCGUGCUUAACACAUGCAAGUCGAACGGAAAGGCCUGCUUUCCCUUGUGGAUUGCGGGUACUCGAGUGGCGAACGGGUGAGUAACACGUGAGUGAUCUGCCCCCAACUUGGGUAUAAGCCUGGGAAACUGGGUCUAAUUCCCGAUAGGACUGCAGGGUGGUGCCUGUGGUGGAAAACGAUUUUCUAGUGGUUGGGGAUGAGCUCGCGGCCUAUCAGCUUGUUGGUGGGGUAAUGGCCUACCAAGGCGGCGACGGGUAGCCGGCCUGGGAGGGUGGACGGCCACAUUGGGACUGAGAUACGGCCCAGACGCCUACGGGAGGCAGCAGUGGGGAAUAUUGCACAAUGGGCGGAAGCCUGAUGCAGCGACGCCGCGUGGGGGAUGACGGCCUUCGGGUUGUAAACUCCUUUCGACCGCGAGGAAGCCACCUGGUGGGAAGGGUGGUGACGGUAGUGGUAGAAGAAGCACCGGCUAACUACGU